Molecule: ribosomal RNA, 439 nt
Filed under: Eurymetra natalensis
Lineage: Eukaryota; Metazoa; Arthropoda; Insecta; Hemiptera; Gerridae
Description: partial large subunit ribosomal RNA
Source: RNAcentral
GGUCUUUUGUGUUUUAUUUAAGAUCGGACCUGCCCAUUGAUUAAUAAUAUUAAAAGGCUGCGGUAUUUUAACUGUACUAAGGUAGCAUAAUCAUUUGUCUUUUAAUUGGAGGCUAGAAUGAAUGGUUUGAUGAAAUAUAAACUUUCUUUUUAUAAUUAUUUUGAAUUUAAUUUUUUAGUUAAAAAGCUAAAAUUUUUAUAUAAGACGAGAAGACCCUUUAGAAGUUUACUAUUUUUAUUUAAUUUUGUUUUUUGUUUUUAAAAUAUUUUUUUAGAAAAAUUAGUUUUGUUGGGGUGACAUUAAAAUUUAAUUAACUUUUAAUUAUUUUUUCAUUUAUUUAUGUUUUUUUGAUCCAAAAUUUUUGAUUAUAAGAUUAACUUACCUAAGGGAUAACAGCGUAAUUUUUUCGGAGAGUUCUUAUCGAUGAAUAAGUUUGCGA